RNAcentral lists this ribosomal RNA (393 nucleotides) under uncultured Achromobacter sp. RNAcentral's name for it is "bacterial SSU rRNA". It matches the Rfam family "Bacterial small subunit ribosomal RNA", at positions 524 to 915 of the family's 1533-position model. Lineage: Bacteria; Pseudomonadati; Pseudomonadota; Betaproteobacteria; Burkholderiales; Alcaligenaceae. The record is from RNAcentral.
UACGUAGGUCCCGAGCGUUGUCCGGAUUUAUUGGGGCGUAAAGCGUGCGCAGGCGGUUCGGAAAGAAAGAUGUGAAAUCCCAGAGCUUAACUUUGGAACUGCAUUUUUAACUACCGAGAUAGAGUGUGUCAGAGGGAGGUGGAAUUCCGCGUGUAGCAGUGAAUGCGUAGAUAUGCGGAGGAACACCGAUGGCGAAGGCAGCCUCCUGGGAUAACACUGACGCUCAUGCACGAAAGCGUGGGGAGCAGACAGGAUUAGAUACCCCUGGUAGUCCACGCCCUAAACUGAUGUCAACUAGCUGUUCGGGGCCUUCGGGCCUUGGUAGCGCAGCUAACGCGUGAAGUUGACCGCCUGGGGAGUACGGUCGCAAGAUUAAAACUCAAAGGAAUGACG